Molecule: unclassified non-coding RNA, 248 nt
Filed under: Melitaea cinxia (Glanville fritillary)
Lineage: Eukaryota; Metazoa; Arthropoda; Insecta; Lepidoptera; Nymphalidae
Description: misc RNA ENSMCXG00005000171.1
Source: RNAcentral
AUACUCCUAUAGCUGUUCUACCGAGUACCUGCACUGAUUUAAUUCUAGUUGCAUGUUCCGACCACAUUACGUCCGCGAUGAAAACGAGAAUCCUACAGAUAAUAUGAUACCUUUGAACCGUACAAGGGGUACAUGCAAAUGAUGGCAUACAUAUCAGAGAGCAAUUAAAACUCUAUUUUAACUCAGAAAUUGGUCAAGUAGCCUGGCAAAAUAACUAGGUAUUAUUAAAUAAAAAUUACCUAAAGAUA